RNAcentral lists this ribosomal RNA (472 nucleotides) under Dendropsophus leali (Leal's treefrog). RNAcentral's name for it is "partial 16S ribosomal RNA". It matches the Rfam family "Bacterial large subunit ribosomal RNA", at positions 1979 to 2604 of the family's 2925-position model. The record is from RNAcentral. Lineage: Eukaryota; Metazoa; Chordata; Amphibia; Anura; Hylidae.
AAUGAGGACUAGUAUGAAUGGCAUCACGAGGGUUACACUGUCUCCUUUUUCUAAUCAAUGAAACUAAUCUCCCCGUGAAGAAGCGGGGAUAUGUAUAUAAGACGAGAAGACCCUAUGGAGCUUCAAACUAUUUAGCACUGGCUUUAUAUAUCCCUACUUCAGAGUUCUUACACUUAUUCUAGCCUCUUGACUAAUAGUUUUAGGUUGGGGUGACCACGGAGCAAAAAUUAACCUCCACGAUGAACAGAGCUACUCUUGAGCCAAAAGCCACAACUUUAAGCACCAAUAAACUGACACAAAUUGACCCAAUAUUUUGAACAACGAACCAAGUUACCCUAGGGAUAACAGCGCAAUCCACCUUAAGAGCCCCUAUCGACAGGUGGGUUUACGACCUCGAUGUUGGAUCAGGGUAUCCCAGUGGUGCAGCCGCUACUAAUGGUUCGUUUGUUCAACGAUUAAAACCCUACGUGAU